GUUACCAUAAGAAUAAUAUUAUAAAUGCAAUCAUAAACUCAUAGUAAUUACAAUUCUAAAUCAGAGACACCCCCCUAGUAUUGGGGGGUUUAGAUACUCAUAUUGUUCAAAACAAAUUCAAGAUAAAAAAUACACAUUACAAGUAAUUGGAUGACAUGGAUCUUAAAUCGCUUCCGCUCUUCGAAUUCCUUGAUCUCUGUAAUCCUUGCUUGUUUGACAAUAUUGUGUUUGCCUCUUUCCAAGAUCCCUCUUUUUCUAUUGUAGAAAAUCUCCUAAUAUAGUGAAAAUCCCUUGGUAGAAGGUGGAGAUCUCUAAAACAUCCCUGCAGCUUAAGCCCGGUGAAAAAUCCUGAAAAUUGGAAAAUUAGCAUUUUGGGCUGACACUGGCCGUGGCAGGCUGACACGGGAAGUGUCAGGUUGACGCGGGUCAUGUUAGCUGACACGGGCGACCGUGUUAGGCCACUGUUGUGGGCAUUACUUGUUCUUUC
This 487-nucleotide long non-coding RNA is filed under the name Lathyrus oleraceus (garden pea). RNAcentral's name for it is "Pisum sativum (pea) long non-coding RNA (PSAT_LNC005423)". The record is from RNAcentral. Lineage: Eukaryota; Viridiplantae; Streptophyta; Magnoliopsida; Fabales; Fabaceae.